This is a long non-coding RNA of Cuculus canorus (common cuckoo), 8750 nucleotides long. RefSeq lists it as uncharacterized. The record is from RefSeq and is a predicted model, not a curated record. NCBI's taxonomy places the organism in Eukaryota, Metazoa, Chordata, Aves, Cuculiformes, Cuculidae. The transcript is spliced from 5 exons.
AUUACCCCCAAAAGCAGUUUGUUCAAUUAUGCCAGUAAUUCAACAUAGCUAAACACGCAUAAAUGCAGCUUAUAACUCCCUUCUAAGAGGGAAAUAUUAUUCAUUUCCAGGAGAUAUGACCCUGAUUCCACUACAACUGUUUGUGGAGUGAGGUAUUUAUUGGAAGAGCUAUCCUGGUUUCAUCUGGAAUCUUUGCCUUUUGUUGUCUCCUUCUGGUCAGUGAAACUGAAGCACUUGUGUGACCUUUCAUUUAAAGAAAGGUUGGAAAUGCCAGCAAAAGAGCCAGACUGACAUGGAGCAAGGACCGCUUCCUGAGGCAGUGUGUCUUAUCUCAGCUUUGUCCCUCACUGUCAUAAUGUAGAUUCUCAUCUCUUUUGGUCUGAUUUGUAUUGAGUCUUGUUGGCAGCAAGAGUCCAGAGCCACAACAAUGAGGAUCCUUGGCAGAGACACUGGAUGCACAGUCUCAUUUCCAGUACUCGUACGUGCAAAGACACGAAGAGUCAGGCGUGAAGCACCGCUGAAGGGAAUCUAAGAAAUCUGCCCUGGAAAAACACCUUAUCUGCGAUGGUAUCAACUCAGCAAAUUUUCAUGAGACCACAGAACUUUUUUGCUGAUUACUCUGUGAAAGUGUUACUUCUCCUGGGUUCCCAAAGGUUUGAGCUGCGUGUAGAACUGCAAGAAACAGCAGGUAAAGCAUCACUCCCAGGUGCCCACAGUCUCUCUCUCCUUGCAUCCAACUCUUUUUUAAAGGCACAGGGAUCCUUGUGCUUUGCAGAUGGACUGAAUCCGAGAUUCUUAUAAUAGAGUGUGUUCCUUGAAAUCAAUUGUCAAGAGGCCUCAGCAGUGUUCACUAAGAAUGUCAGUCUGACAGAGAAUUACACCCUGGGGAAAGCAAUCGGGCUAUAAACAGCCCCCUGGCACACACACCAGCCACAGCCUGCUGAGAUACAAUGCUUCAAACAAAACAAAACAAACACAAAAAAAGGGGGACAAACAACAGAAAGAGAUUUCUGGGGGAUGAAGUCAACUCAUUAAUGUAACAAGGAAAAUGUAUGAGAAGCUUCAGGGAGACACGGAGUGCUUGCUCUGGAUGCAUUCCCACUGCACUUGCAGGGACGCAUCUUGUGCCUUGGCUCGGAUUCCAGCCCCAAAGAGAAUCACAGAAUCACAAGGUUGGAAAGGAUCCACUGGAUCAUCGAGUCCAACCAUUCCUAACACUCCCUAAACCAUGUCCCUCAGCACUUCAUCCACCCGUUCCUUAAACACCUCCAGGGAAGGCGACUCGACCCCCUCCCUGGGCAGCUGUUCCAGUACCCAAUGACUCUUUCUGCGAAGAAUUUUUUUCUGAUAUCCAACCUGAACCUCCCCUGGGGGAGCUUGAGGCCAUUCCCUCUUGUCCUGUCCUCUGUCACUUGGGAGCAGAGCCCAGCUCCCUCCUCUCCACAACCUCCUUUUAGGUAGUUGUAGAGAGUAAUAAGGUCUCCCCUCAGAGAGAGGAGAGAAGGGAGAUUAUGAUCAUAAACUGAUGUUAUAAAAAGCAAGUAUGAUACGAUCAGAAAUUAAGACAAUGCUUCCUCAGUGGUCAUGCUGAGAACAAACUCCUGCUACCUUCAGUGAAGCCUGAAAGCUACCUAACGGCCUGACAAAGCAAAUCAUUAGCAACAUUUCACCUAGGUCUUAAAAUAUUUUCAUUGCAAAUGACUCUCCCAUUAGAUGAAUGCCCGUGUCAGAAAGUAAUUACCCUUUCUUUGAACUUGCAUUUCAGAAAUUUGAAACAACUAAAAAAAAAGAAUGACAGAGAAGAAUAAGCACUUACUUUUUAUGACUUUUUUUUUAAUGACUUUUUAUGACUCUCCCCCUCCCUUCCCUCUCCUCCCACCACAUCAGCGACAGAGUGAGGGGCAGGUGAACAGCCUGAAUUUUCAGCAUUAGAGUUCAAGGAGACUGCAAAAGAUGUCACCACCAAGAGGCAGCUCUCACCAGCCACUUUUUCUUUAAAACUGUUUCUUUGACAUAUGUGAAUUGACACGACAGUAUAAGCGGGCAUAUAUACCGGGUCAGUCGAGUUCUAGCUUGGAGCCCAAAGCUCUGAGGGCACACGCCAAGAGACACAGCAUAGAACUGCUGCCUUUCUGUAAGCACUCUCCCACUGCAAAAUUGUGGAUAGAAAAGACAGAUUCUUACAAUUAAUUUGAAAUAUACAUCCUAAGUGAAGGCUGAAUUUUCUAAAAGGUUUACUAGUUACGUGUCCUUGCAAAGCUGAGUGAAAGCUGACAGGAGACAAAGCCACAUCUACUGACAUUUACAAGUUCUCAGAAACGAACAUCCACUUUUAACCGUGCGUCAGCACAUUAUUCAAUUCUUUCUUUUGGUAUGUGCAACUGCUGAGACACCCAGGCUAAAAUUAGGGUCAGCACUCUUUCUGUGUGUGUUUACCAAUAUGUGCCUAUAUGUACGUAUAAGCACACACAGACAUGGGAAAACAUGGAAAGGAAAAAAAUGGAACUGACAAUUAAUAACAGUAACUUAAGUCUUGGCUUUAAACUCAUUUUGUGAUCAUUCACCCUGGGUUUGACUCACAAUAGGAAGUCCAUCUGUCUGAAGAAAAUAUAUCCAGAUACUAAUAUCAGGACAAUGAUACAAGAUCACACUAUUUUUUAAAAAAACCCUAUUAUCUGCACUGAGAAGUCAAUAUAUCUCUUCUGUGAAAGUAAGCGUGCACACAUCUCGUAUAGGAUUUUUCUGGGCUUGUGAGAAAGCUAUUACAGAGGAUGAAUCAAAAACAAAGCAACAUUUAUCAGUGCUUUCUUUAAAAGAAGAGAGAGAACAAAAUUGGCCCUAUCAUAAAAUAUUUACGUGGUUUUUUUUUGUAAAUCACAGUAGACAGAAAAUAAUGGGACAGAAAAAGAAGAUGAUGUUCAAACCAAGACUUUGAAAGUGACUUUCUUCAGUAUAGUUAGAAACGGGGGAAAAAAGAGGCAGAGGAAGAUUGAGACUCCAUGCAUCAUUUGAUGUUUUGUUCCAUGUGCAUUAAUGAGCACUCAGCAGCACACCCCGCCCUACAACCUUCCCGUUAGACAUGGUAGCUGACGUCAAAUAUCCCAAGAGGUACAGCAAAGCACUUUCCAACCCAACUUCCCCAUCUUAACCAUCCUCUGGAUCCCAUGGUUAUGAAGCCUUCAGGAGGUACUUCAGCCCUUGGCUGAUUCCUCCCUGAUUGUCACCCCAGAAUUCACAGAGGAAUUCAGGGGGUAAGCAUGGAGGUUGGCAAGCACGGGCGGAGAUCAGUCCUGGGGCUCUCCGAGCACCUCCCAUGAGAAACUCAGGGCUUCCAGCACAUGCAAAGCUACAUCAAUAGCUUAGCGUAGCAGCCUGCAUCCUCUUCCUCAUCCCACCUGGGGUUCCUGAGGUGCCUCAACCGGCAUCUCGGGGCACAGCUGGAGAAAAGCUUAUUGGCAACACCUACAUCUUACAAACCUAAACUUUGUAUUUCUACAAUCAUAAACAGGUUUGGGGUUUUUCAGUCGGUUUCAUUGAUUUUCACAUCUCUAAAGCUAAGCACAGGUAUCAGUGGGUGCAAGAUCAUUGAAUUAAUUCAGAAUUAAACUCCUUUGGAUUUUAAGCAGCUUCAGCUUCCACUAUUUCUACCAUCUCUACUAAUUGCACUCAGUGGAAUUUUCUGAAAGUAUAGUUUUAUUUCGUAGGGAAGAAAGAUACAUCACAUAGACUUUGAGAUGUUCAAAUUAAAAAAAAAAAUAACCCAACCUUUUUUACUUACAAAAUAAAAAGUUUUUCUACUCAGCCACUUCCAACAGUUUUCUGUUCUCUCUAACUCUAAAUCCUGCUCAGAGCUGCUAUUUUCAGGAAAAAAAAAAGCUGCCAUAUAUCCAAUGUAAUUCAGAUAUUUUGCUGCAAAAAAGUGUCUUUAAAGUGCAGAUUUGGACAAAGAACAUCCUGCAGAGAUUUGAUGAGAAGCUUUUAUACUUAAGUGAUAGCCUUUGUAUUGUAUACAAGGAGGAGGAAAUAGCUAUUCAAACAGAAAAACAAUGAUCUAUUAUUCCAGAGAAAGAAAACUCUGAAUAUGACAAAGAUGACCAGCAGCACAAAAAGCAGAGUGGAUCCCUGACAUCUCCCGCCUGCCAUCUGAGACAUACUGAAUGCCACCAGCUCACAACCGAUUACAGUUUGCACCUUAUAAUGGACACUUACUUUUUCUCAUCCUUUAAGUCUGUUUUCCAACACUGUCCAAAGAUGACAGGUCUUUGUAGUGGACAAGCUGCAAUGAAAAUAGAGGCCAUUGUAAGGUCUAGAGCACUUUUCUCGAGACUAUUUCCCAAGACUUGCACUUAAUUAGAGUUGUAGUGCAUCUCCAAAAAGGUGCACGUGUUCUCUCCUCUCUAUUAUCUGUCACAUCACAUUUCUGCUCAACAUAAUGCAGCAAACGUGGGGAGUGAUUUGUGGAAUACAUUAACAUAGUUUAACACACUGUGCAUAACAUUUGCAUGCUAGUGCUGUAAGGAAAGGUGAUAGGUCAGAAUAAAAUGGAUGAUUAAAAAGAGUUGAUUAAUUUCUGUAGCACUAUUUCAAAAAGAUGUAUUAGACUAGAAAACUUGACUCACUCCUUCCUAGUAUCUUAAUUACGCAGAACGAAAGGAGCAGUGCUGAAGCUGUGAUCCUCCCUGCACGACCAAGCAUUACUUGCAGAAAGUUAGUGGAACAAUCAGUGAUUUUUGUAAUGUGGGGCUACUUUUCAGCUCUCAUCCUACACACCCUUGCUGGGCCCUUCAACUCAGCUGCCUCAUCCUGUAGCUCUCAUCUUCCUUUAUUCAAGUCGCCUGAAAUCAAAGCUCAGCAUGUACCGAGGUGUUUUCCUUUUGAAGGAUGGAAUUAUGUGUAAGAAUAAAUCUUUUUUUCUCUUGGACUGGCACCCAAGGAGAUGCACAGUGGCUUUCACUUGAGUAUAUCAAGGCUGAACCACAUCCAAAUAUCUGUACAGGACGAGUCACUCUAGGAGACUCUCGGUCCCAGUGAGGGUGAUGGGAUUGUGUUCAGCCAUCGCUUUCAGUAGGACCAAAAUUACCAUUCAGCAUCAUCGGCUGCUUGGGGAGGGACCAGCACUGCCACAGUCCCCGGGCCUGGCUCCGAACUCCUAGCUUUAUCGCAACAAGAAACAACAGCAACCCAUAAAGGUAAACAUCAAUUUGGCCUGAAUGUCAGUCCCUCUCAGCUGCACGCACGUAAUUCUGAAUGAAGCAGCAGUCACCCCCUAAGCAUCCAUCACAGCAUUGCUGCUGGUUUUCCAGUGGGUUGGUUUUUUCUGGUGGAACUAAUUGACCUCUGACCUGUUUAUUGCUUUAUCGCCACCAAUUUAGCACCAGUUUAUUCAUCAACAUCUGGUGGUCAGAAUAUUGUAUUUUACAUUAUUAGCUCUCAAAUGAGUAGCUAAUGCUGCUUAAUGGGGCAGUUCUGUGCAAGUAUAGACUCAUUUUUUCUCAUUUUCCUAAUGAAUGGAGGAUCUUCAUCAAAUAAAUAUUUGCCAGUUGGCUUACUAUCAAAGUUGAUAAUUAAAAACUGAAAAAUGCUCAAUAUAUGGAGAGCUGAACGGCGGUGGCAUGUGAGUUUUAAAGUAAUAUCAUUUCUGCCACUCUGCACUUGCACAGAGCCCAAAUUGGCAAUCAAGGGAGCAGCGUGAGGAAGGUUGAGAUGGAUUUACAUAUUGUCUCACUAAAAUGCUACUGAUUUAUUUCGCUGGUGCCAGAGACACAACAUGGGCAUGGCUUAAAUAGCCUUCUUUUCCUGGUUUUUACAAAACAAAUAGAAAAAAAGAAAAAUAUGGUAAUAAACCAUCUUGGACUCAGUCAUAAAAACAUCCGAUUUCCCUCCACCAACUAGCACAAUUGCACUUUGCAAUGGGAAUGUGCAGAGAUGGUGUGACCUGGCAUGCAGAAUUCAUGAAACAUCUCUGCAUAAACACAUGAAUUUGGAAUAAAUGCAUUUCAAGCUGAGAAAGUGCAGCACUGAACUGAGAGUGAGCUGCACUUCAGCAUAUACCCCUCAGGCUCAGAGCCUGGCUCAGGUUUGAGACAAUUCAAGUCAAGGCUUUUAAACAAGUUCCCCCAUACUAAGGGCCAAAUUAUUUUAAAAGUUAACUUUUUCCUACAGAUAAACACAUAUACAUAUCUAUUACUACUUGAUUAUUUCCAGUUAUACACUGAUACUUAGUGGUGUCAGCUGGUAGCAUUCAACGCGCAGAAACACUUUUGGUUUUACUAUACCAAAAGUCUUUUCUUCUCAGUACAAGAUUCUACACAGGUUCUUAGGAAAGUAUCUUUACAAACAAAACUACUGAUUUUAAGGAUGUAAACGUAACAAGCAUGUUUUCUUUGCAGGACUGGAACUCACUGUCAGUCUUACAUUCCAUACGCUUGCAAAUAACUGAAAAUUACCACUGACAAGUUUAAAUUCACACAGGAAUUCAGGAGGUUUUGUUGGUAGAGUACAAUUAUGAAUGAGUAAUAGUUAACCUGCAUUACUUGCAUACUCCUGCAAAAAGGUACGCGGAGAAUGCUGAGAACAUUUUUCACUCUCCCAUGUGACGUCUGACAAGAAGCUAUUGCUUCGGUUUAAGAAGCUUUCAGAAUUUGGCAGAGUUCACCCAUGCCAUGUUUUCAGCACAAUCCACGUGCAUCUUGAGGCAAAGCAGUAAAGGCAUAACAAACAAAUUAUUGUAAUAGUGCUGUUAAAAUGCAAAGAUCACUUUAUUUUGUCAAAACCAAAUAAUUCCUGCUAUUUCAAAGAGAAUAUACUCUAAUCUAAAGCUACCGAAGCGCACAGAAGCUGUGCCAGCACUAAACGUAUCUGUUGGCUUCAUGGCCCGUUAAACAGCACAGAUGGUACUAUGAAUUAUUUCUGAAAAUGUCAAUACGUUUCUAAUACCAUAGGCACAAUUUUCCUAAUCUUUGGGUGCGCUCUCCCUGGGCCUGGGUCCCAACUCAGCUCCUGAAAGCCCUCUUUUUCCAUCUCACUUAGCGAGUGGCUGGCAGCAGAUGCAGCCAAAAACUGUGCAGCAAAACAGCAGCUCCAGCCCACGCAGACCCCGAGAUGCCACUGCAAUUUUACUGCUACAGUUUCAAGGAUGCUGAAAGCAUGGGAUGAGCACUCCUCUAGCAGUAGAAAAGCGUGUGGUAAAAAGUAAAUACCAAAGCCCAGGAAACCAUCAUAAAAGUGUUUCUUUUUAGUUAUUUUUAGAGCUCUAAUGCACUCUUGAGUCAAGAAAAGAAAGUAAAGAAAGUAAAGAAAAUAGAGAAAAAGAAGGGGGUAGGAAAUUGUGUCAGGCAGAUUUACAUGGGAUCAUUCUUGCUUUUAGAUCCUUUGGCACAUAUACGAUAAAAGUGCAGAAGUGCUUCACUAAUACAGAUUAUUUUAACCUAAUAUGUUGAAGAGUCAUGAACUCAUAAUUUCUAAGAAGUCAAACUACAAUAUAUGCCAGGUUUAAUAUUCGUAGCCUGAUGCUCAAGCAUACCAAUAUUUUUCACAGCCUAUGACUAAUCUCCAGUUCCAAAAUCCUUUAUUUAUUAAUACAUCCACCCACUAAGUAAGGAGAUUUUUUUUUCCCCUUCUGUUUUCUACACUUAUGUUAAUGAAUUUGUUAACAAAAAAAUGUUUCCUAUUAUUUUGCAGGUCUGUAUUUUAAAUGCAGCUUCCUAAUUGCCAGGAGAAGCAGGCUAGAAGAACUAAGAAAAAAACCUGUGGCAUUUAUUUCUGUAGACAGCUCUGCUUCAGUUACAGGCAAUAAGGGGUUCAAAACUCCAAAAUCUUCAACUUGCACGGUAAUUUGUCAAAAGAGGAACAAGUCAGAUGAAAAAUAGUUGAUGGUUCUGCACCAUCAAUAAAUUCAGGCCAACUUACAUUCGCGUUAAGAUCCUUUCUACCUGUCCUACAAUACAAAACAACAUGAAUGUUCUCACCUCAUGAGUUCUGUGCCUCAUCAGCUACUUUCAUGGAAACUACUCAACCGCAUUAGCCCACCCUUGUGAGCCUUCCCCACAAACUGUUCUUGAAGAUGUGUUAUAGUGGGGUCCACCAGAGCACCUUCUUCUAAGCUUUAAAUGAAGAACAAUGACGCCAUCAUUUUGAGGCGUAUCUUAAUUCAUGCUUCCGUGCGUGCACAUUAAAGAUCAACAUCCAUCUCCCUUUGUCGCAAGGAAAAGUAAAGCUAACUGCGUUAGCUACAGCUUAUGGGACAAAAAUGAAUUAAUAAAGGCAGAUGGAAACCAGAACAGAGGUUUCCCUCUUUGGAGCAGAGAGUGCUCUCAACAGAGAUCCUGGCAGAUGUGAAUUAAAGUUCUGAUUUAGUACAUCCUUAAUUCAUCUGCAACUUCAAACCUCCUGCAAAAGACACCCUCAAGUUGCUGUUUAGUGUCUGAUGCAAAGUACAUUUCACUCUAAACCUCUGACUUGCCUUAGUCUGAUGUAAACAAAGAUGAAUUAACCCAAGCUUCCUGAAUGGCAGAUCCAGACUGAUAUACACUUAAACAGCAGCUUCUCUUCAAUUUUGUGACAGUUCAGAAACACCUGACUGCAAUUUUUUCCUGAGUUUAGAACUUGUGAUGACUUCUCAUGUGAGGAUUUUGUUGCAAACCUUCUGGGGAACAGUUGUCAAACUGUAAAGUGAAUCUCUAUACUGCCUGUUUUGCUGUGUAAAAUAACUUUCUUUCAACAAGAGAAGUGCCUAACUUGGCCAAAAAAAA